This 133-nucleotide small RNA is filed under the name Arabidopsis thaliana (thale cress). RNAcentral describes it as "ATSL194440". The record is from RNAcentral. Lineage: Eukaryota; Viridiplantae; Streptophyta; Magnoliopsida; Brassicales; Brassicaceae.
AAAAAAACGAUGACAAAAAACGGCUCUCGUGUCGUCUACUUAGUCGAGCUCUUCAGACGGGCGAAUAUCCUCGGCAGGCAGAAGUGACCCAGACUGAUCGGUGACCCCCGCCUCGUCGGCAAGAGUCUCGACC